AAUUAUGGUGGCUCAGGCGGGGCAGCCGAAAGGCUGGCCGGUGUCGUUUGGGCCGGUAUUCUCACCCCCGUCUGGGCUACCACCCCU
RNAcentral lists this non-coding RNA (87 nucleotides) under Klebsiella pneumoniae. The record is from RNAcentral. Lineage: Bacteria; Pseudomonadati; Pseudomonadota; Gammaproteobacteria; Enterobacterales; Enterobacteriaceae.